CGAGACCUCAGGUCAGACGGGGCUACCCGCUGAGUUUAAGCAUAUCAAUAAGCGGAGGAAAAGAAACUAACAAGGAUCCCCCCUUUAGUAACGGG
Molecule: ribosomal RNA, 95 nt
Filed under: Lonchocarpus crassicalyx
Lineage: Eukaryota; Viridiplantae; Streptophyta; Magnoliopsida; Fabales; Fabaceae
Description: partial 28S ribosomal RNA
Rfam family: Eukaryotic large subunit ribosomal RNA
Source: RNAcentral